CAAUGCUGUUUUUUUUUUUUUUUUUUUUUUUUUUCGAAGACACCUCCAUCAAAAGAAGCAAUAACAACAUAACAAU
This 76-nucleotide non-coding RNA is filed under the name Asterionellopsis glacialis. Lineage: Eukaryota; Bacillariophyta; Plagiogrammaphyceae; Rhaphoneidales; Asterionellopsidaceae. The record is from RNAcentral.